RNAcentral lists this ribosomal RNA (377 nucleotides) under uncultured bacterium. RNAcentral describes it as "bacterial SSU rRNA". It matches the Rfam family "Bacterial small subunit ribosomal RNA", at positions 28 to 413 of the family's 1533-position model. The record is from RNAcentral.
GACGAACGCUGGCGGCGUGCCUAACACAUGCAAGUCGAGCGAGGUAUUUAUACCUAGCGGCGGACGGGUGAGUAACACGUGGGUAACCUGCCUCAUAGAGGGGAAUAGCCUUCCGAAAGGGAGAUUAAUACCGCAUAAUAUAUACCGGUAGCAUUAAUGGUAUAUCAAAGGAGAAAUCCGCUAUGAGAUGGGCCCGCGGGCGCAUUAGCUAGUUGGAGAGGUAACGGCUCACCAAGGCGACGAUGCGUAGCGACCUGAGAGGGUGAUCGGCCACGAUUGGAACUGAGACACGGUCCAGACUCCUACGGGAGGCAGCAGUGGGGAAUAUUGUACAAUGGGGGAAACCCUGAUGCAGCAACGCCGCGUGAAUGAUGACG